UGGGGUUGGGGUGGCCACAGCUGGGGUUGGGGUGGCCACAGCUGGGGUUGGGGUGGCCACAGCUGGGGUUGGGGUGGCCACAGCUGGGGUUGGGGUGGUCAUGGUCGGGUUUAGAAUGGCCAUGGCCGGGUGUGAGGUGGUCAUGGUUGGGUUUGGUUGGUCAUGGUUGGGUUUAGAAUGAGCGUGGCUGGGUUUGGGGUGGUCACACUUUCACAGGUGGGUUUGGGGUGGUCACGGGUGGGUUUGGGGUGGUGACAGUUGGGUUUGAGGUGGUCACAGUGGGGUUUGGGGUGGUCACAGGUGGGUUUGGGGUGGCCACAGAUGCACAGGUGGGUUUGGGGUGGUCACAGUUGGGUUUGAGGUGGUCACAGGUGGGUUUGGGGUGGUCACAGUUGGGUUUGAGGUGGUCACAGGUGGGUUUGGGGUGGUCACAGUUGGGUUUGAGGUGGUCACAGGUGGGUUUGGGGUGGUCACAGUUGGGUUUGAGGUGGUCACAGGUGGGUUUGGGGUGGUCACGGGUGGGUUUGGGGUGGUGACAGUUGGGUUUGAGGUGGUCACAGUGGGGUUUGGGGUGGUCACAGGUGGGUUUGGGGUGGUCACAGGUGGGGUUGAGGUGGUCAUGGAGGGGUUUGGGGUGGCCACAGGUGGGUUUGGGGUGGUCAAGGAUGGGUUUGGAGCAGUCAUGGUCAGGUUUAGAAUGGCCAUGGCCGGGUGUGAGGUGGUCACAGGUGGGUUUGGGGUGGUCACUGUUGGGUUUGGGUUGGUCACAGGUGGGUUUGGGAUGGUCACAGGUGGGUUUGGGGUGGCCACAGGUGGGUUUGGGAUGGUCACAGGUGGGUUUGGCGUGGCCACAGGUGGGUUUGGGGUGGUUAAGGUUGGGCUGGAGAGGUCUGGGGGACAGCUGGUGGCACUUGGGGACAGACACAGGUGGGUUUGGGGACAGUCCCUAUGAUGCCUCCAGGUUUGGGGACAGUCUCUAUAAUGUCCUCAGGGUUGGGGACAGUCCCCAUGAUGUCCCCAGGGUCUGGGGACAGGCCCAUGAUGUCCCCAGGGUUAAGGACAGUCUCUAUGAUGUCCCCAGGGUUGGGGACAGCCCCCAUGAUGUCCCCAGGGUUUGAGGACAGCCCCUAUGAUGUCCCCAGGGUUUGGGGCCAGUCCCCAGGGUUUGAGGACAGCCCCUAUGAUGUCCCCAGGGUUAAGGACAGUCUCUAUGACGUCCCCAGGGUUAAGGACAGUCUCUAUGAUGUCCCCAGGGUUGGGGACAGCCCCUGGAUGUCCCCAGGUACCGUGAUGACGUCCAGGAUGCUCAGCAGGCUGUGCACGCUGUCCCCAGGGAACACCUCCUUCAUCACCGUCUCCUUCCCGUCCUGCCAGGACACGCCCGCGUCACCUGGGGUCACCUGGGGUCACCUGAGUGCCCCCUGAGUGCCCAAGAGUGUCCCCUGGCUCUCCCCUGAGUGUCCCCAGCUGUCCCCAGUGUCCCCAAUACCCCCAGAGUCCCCAAUGUCCCCUGUCUCUCCCAGUGUCCCCAACAUCCCCAGUGUCCCCAAGUGUCCCCAGUAUCCCCAAUGUUCCCAGUGUCCCCAAGUGUCCCUAAUGUCCCCAGCCAUCCCCCAAUGUCCCCAGUGUCCCCAGCCAUGCCCAAU
This is a long non-coding RNA of Ficedula albicollis (Collared flycatcher), 1646 nucleotides long. Lineage: Eukaryota; Metazoa; Chordata; Aves; Passeriformes; Muscicapidae. The record is from Ensembl.